Molecule: non-coding RNA, 30 nt
Filed under: Mus musculus (house mouse)
Lineage: Eukaryota; Metazoa; Chordata; Mammalia; Rodentia; Muridae
Source: RNAcentral
UUGGUUUAGAAAUAGCUGCAUGACCCAGGC